Molecule: small RNA, 334 nt
Filed under: Histoplasma capsulatum var. duboisii H88
Lineage: Eukaryota; Fungi; Ascomycota; Eurotiomycetes; Onygenales; Ajellomycetaceae
Description: Histoplasma capsulatum H88 hypothetical RNA
Source: RNAcentral
AUGGCCUGAGAUUUAAUGCUCUCUCAGGGUUUGAUUGCUGAGAUCUUGUUGCGAUGUUCUGUAGGCUGCUUGGCUGUCCUUUUGUAAACUGGCAAUAACAGCCGGCAGCUGAUAAAUUGAUCAGCAGCAAUCCAGAUCUCCAACAGGGAGGAGAGUAGGAAACCCUUGUUGUGUCUUGAGCACUAGUAUGGGGAUCUGUUACAAACUUCCGAAUGUUGAAACUCUACAGAUCUGUACAUUUAAAGAAGCUGGCUAAGCUUCGAAGCCGAGAGAAUAUCAGAAUUCGAGGCAUUCUGUUUUUCAAGAGGAAAGAUAGAUUAACUUGUCGAAAAUU